RNAcentral lists this ribosomal RNA (305 nucleotides) under uncultured bacterium. RNAcentral describes it as "bacterial SSU rRNA". It matches the Rfam family "Bacterial small subunit ribosomal RNA", at positions 336 to 658 of the family's 1533-position model. The record is from RNAcentral.
CUCCUACGGGGGGCAGCAGUGAGGGAUAUUGGUCAAUGUUUUCCACCCUGAACCAGCAACGCCGCGUGAGGGAAGACGGUUUUCGGAUUGUAAACCUCUGUCCUCUGUGAAGAUAAUGACGGUAGCAGAGGAGGAAGCUCCGGCUAACUACGUGCCAGCAGCCGCGGUAAUACGUAGGGAGCGAGCGUUGUCCGGAUUUACUGGGUGUAAAGGGUGCGUAGGCGGGUAAGCAAGUCAGAAGUGAAAUCCAUGGGCUUAACCCAUGAACUGCUUUUGAAACUGUUUAUCUUGAGUGAAGUAGAGGG